This 468-nucleotide ribosomal RNA is filed under the name uncultured bacterium. RNAcentral's name for it is "partial 16S ribosomal RNA". It matches the Rfam family "Bacterial small subunit ribosomal RNA", at positions 28 to 507 of the family's 1533-position model. The record is from RNAcentral.
GACGAACGCUGGCGGCGUGCUUAACACAUGCAAGUCGAACGGCAAGGCCCUACUUGUGUGCGGUGCUCGAGUGGCGAACGGGUGAGUAACACGUGAGUAACCUGCCCUUCACUUUGGUAUAGCUUCACGAAACUAGGGCUAAUACCGUAUAGCAGCUCCUGCUGCGUGGUGGGGGGUGGAACGUUUAAGCGGUUGGGGCUGGACGCGCGGCUUAUGAGCUUGUUGGUGGGGUAGUGGCUGACCAAGGCUUUGACGGGUACCCGGCACGAGAGGGUGAACGGGCACCUUGGGCCUGAGAUACGGAGCAGAGUGCAACGGGAGGCAGUAGGGGGGAAUAUUGUACAAUGGGCGGAAGUCUGAUGCAGAAACGCCGCGUGCGGGAUGACGGCCUUCGGGGUGUAAACCGCUUUCGCCUGUGACGACGCGUGAGUGACGGUAAUGGGUAAAGAAGCACCGGCUAACUACGUG